RNAcentral lists this ribosomal RNA (117 nucleotides) under Cytophagaceae bacterium. The record is from RNAcentral. Lineage: Bacteria; Pseudomonadati; Bacteroidota; Cytophagia; Cytophagales; Cytophagaceae.
GCUGGUGUCUUUAGCGAUAGGGCCACACCUGAUCCCAUCUCGAACUCAGAAGUUAAGCCUAUCAGCGGCGAUGGUAGUGCAGUCGUGAGACUGUGGGAGAGUAGCACGAUGCCAGCU